CCCCUUCGGGGGCAGAAUGACAGGUGGUGCAUGGUUGUCGUCAGCUCGUGUCGUGAGAUGUUGGGUUAAGUCCCGCAACGAGCGCAACCCUUGUCUUUAGUUGCCAGCAUUAAGUUGGGCACUCUAGAGAGACUGCCGGUGAUAAACCGGAGGAAGGUGGGGAUGACGUCAAAUCAUCAUGCCCCUUAUGUCCUGGGCUACACACGUGCUACAAUGGACGGUACAACGAGUUGCGAAACCGCAAGGUCAAGCUAAUCUCUUAAAGCCGUUCUCAGUUCGGAUUGCAGGCUGCAACUCGCCUGCAUGAAGUUGGAAUCGCUAGUAAUCGUGGAUCAGCAUGCCACGGUGAAUACGUUCCCGGGUCUUGUACACACCGCCCGUCACACCAUGAGAGUUUGUAACACCCAAAGUCGGUUGGAUAACCUUUACGGAGUCCGCCGCCUAAGGUGGGACAGAUGAUUAGGGUGAAGUCGUAACAAGGUAGCCGUAGGAGAACCUGCGGCUGGAUCACCUCCUUU
This 518-nucleotide non-coding RNA is filed under the name Fructilactobacillus lindneri DSM 20690 = JCM 11027. RNAcentral's name for it is "Lactobacillus lindneri DSM 20690 = JCM 11027 Bacterial small subunit ribosomal RNA". It matches the Rfam family "Bacterial small subunit ribosomal RNA", at positions 1014 to 1533 of the family's 1533-position model. Lineage: Bacteria; Bacillati; Bacillota; Bacilli; Lactobacillales; Lactobacillaceae. The record is from Rfam by way of RNAcentral.